GUCAGUUUGGUGGACUUUCAGUAAAGGAACUAAGUAAGAAAUCAAACGUAAGUACCUAUUUACCAACUAAAUACUGUAUAUUUUUAUUAAUCCCUGUUUGCUAGCUUUGUUUUGAGAGAAUGCUAAAAUUGUGUCUAAUAUUGAGCUUUUCUUUUACAUGUCAACAUCAUUUUCUUUUAAUGCACAAGACUAUAAGAUUGAGUCUAGAAGUAUAUAAUAUACAGUAAAUCAAGGAUCAACUGCUUGUUCAAUGUGACAAAAUAUGUGACAUAUAUAUGUGGCCAAAUUAGCUCAUUUUAUUUCCCAUCAGUAUAAUAAGAUUAUAAAUAUUGUACCUACAACAAAGUUUAACAAGCAUUCUGCCAUUAAAAUAGUUUGUUCACAUUCACGAAAUCUUUGGAAGCUAUAAUAUGUAUGUUAUUUAUCUUUCUGAAAUAAUGGUAGAAAUUUGGUGCAUUUGAAAGUCAAUCUGUUUUGGCAUGUAUAGAUAUAUUUUAGUGGGUAAUUCGAAGCUAAAUUGUAAUUUGAAGUUACAGUCACUUUGAUACCAUCUAAAUUACUAAAUGAAAUACAAAUUCAUAAAUAAAUUGGACCAAUUAAAUUAAUAGCUCAGAAUAUAAAGCCUCUAUAACUAAACUAAAAAUUAUAUUUACUAUAACACUUAAAUCUUAGACUGGCACAAUUUCAGAAAUGGUGUUAAGGAACAGCAGAGCAAGGGAAAUUCCUUAUAAUUAUUUUUUUCUCAUUCAGUAGGCAAUAUGUACAUAUAGUAUGAGUUUAGUUCUCUCUCUAUGUAUAUAUUUAUAUCUGUAUAAAUUUAUCUAUAAAUGUAUCUAUAUGAAUAGAUACCGAAUGCUAAAAACUAAGUAUAUGUAAAUACACUGCAGUAUUACAAAAGUAUCCAUUUCUUUCCUGUUUUGUAUGUUCUUUUAUAUCAAACUAAAUUGUGUCAAACAGUACACUGACAUUUUGUGAGCAAGGAGUAGUAAUAUUGUAAUAUCACAGUUUCGGAUUGCAUAAAUUCCAGCAUGUUUCUCAUCAAACAUUAAAACAUCUCCUUGAUCAAUCUGCUAGGUUAGGUGAUUUUCCAAAAGAUGAUUCAAUGCGUACUCCUUCAUUACAUCAGUAUUUUACAAGCUAGUGAUAACAAAUGUAGAAAUUAAAAUAAUAACAAAACAAAAAAAUAGAUAAUAAAUGUAAUAACAAAUGUAUCUGGCACACUUAGACAACCAAGUUAGAAAUAAAACGUAAGUACAUCUAAUUCAGUGUUGUAUUCAUCAAAUAUUUGACUUUUCCUUCUAUUCUUUUGCUAUUUUAUUUAGUGUAACGUAUUUUCUUCUUUCUCUGUUUGUAUGUGCUUAUUAUGUGAAUAAACUCUAAAUUGUUUCCCGGUUAACUAUAUAACUCCUGGAUCAAUCCUAAUUGUCAAGUGAUUUUUAAAUAGACUAUUUAUAUUGUAUUCUUUACUUCCAUCAGUAUUUUACAAAUCUAGUACUAAUAAAUGUACCCGGCACAUUUAGACAGUUAGGGUUUUUGUACUACGAGUAGAUAGGAAGUAAGUGCUGUGGUACACUUUUGGUCGUGGAACCAAGGUAGAAAUCAAACGUAAGUACAUCUAAUUCAAUGUUCUAUUCAUCAAAUAUUUUAAAUUUUCAUCUGUUCUUUUGCUCUGUUUUCAUUCGUUUUUUGCCUUUCUUUCUCUGUUUUUAUGUGUUUUAUAUAAAACUCUUUUAAAGGCUCUUUAAAACUCUUGUAAAAUGCAUUGGCGUUUUAUAAGGAAAAAAUGAUAAUAUUGUUUUUUAUAGAUUUAAUUUUAAAGUCCAUAAACUAGAACAUUUACAGGCUUUAGGAUUGCAGGUUUUUAUAUGACACGCACAUAACAAGUAAGCAGUGUUGACCACUUUCAAUAAAGGAAUCAAGUUAGAAAUUAAACGUAAGUACAUCUUGAAGACUAUUUUAUCUGUUUAAAUGUUUUCAGAUGUAGUUUUUCUAAUUUAUUUGAAAUAAAAAUCAAGUAUGUGUGGUUUAUGCACUUACCUGAAGAUCAUGCAACUUACAAAAAAAAAAAUUGCACUAAAAUAGUUAAGUUAAAUACUUUCUCAUAAAAAUCAAAAAGCAUUUUUUUUUCAUUUUUUACUAUUUUAGCUUAAAUUUUAAAAAUCCAUAAUCAACGUGCCAAAGUAACUGAUUGAAUAAGCUCUAAAAUAUUUUACAUUUAGCUAUAUCUCCUAGAUCAAUUUUUAUUGUCAGGUGAUUUUUGAAUAGACUAAUUCUUUUGCAUUCUUUACUUUCAUCACUAUUUUACAAAGCUAGUAAUAAAAAAAAUAUACCCGACUCAUUUAGAUAGUUAAGCUUUUUGUACUAUGAGUAUAUACGGGAAAUAAGGGCUGUGGGACACUUUUGGUUGAGGAACCAAGUUAGAAAUAAAAUGUAAGUACAUCUAAUUCAGUGUUCUCUUCAUCAAAUAUUUGACUUUUUCUUCUAUACCUUUGCUGUUUUAGUUAGUGUGAUGUAUUUUCUUAUAUCUCUGUUUUGUUUGUGCUUUUUAUAAAACUCCAUUACAAUUACAUUCUAAACUAUCUAAUUCAAUUUUGUAACCCACAAGAAAAACAAGUGGAUAGUGUAUAGGCGCUUCGUGAAUAUAAAGAUAAAAGUAGUGGUAGAUAUUAAAGUGUUUUCCCGAACACAAAUAAAACGUGAAUAAUAAAGGCAAGAUUUAUAUCAAACCACAAAUAAUGUAAACCAAAAAGUGAGAUAGUGAUAAUAAAUAUAUACAAAAAUACAACAAAUACAGGUUGUAUUUUUGUAUAUAUUUAUUAUCACUAUCUCACUUUUUGGUUUACAUUAUUUGUGGUUUGAUAUAAAUCUUGCCUUUAUUAUUCAAUGUUGUAAUCGUCAAUAUUUUUCUUUAAUUUUUGUUCUUUUUUUUUUCUUUUUUUCUUUUUAGAUACUGGUAUUCAUUUGAGUCCAAAAUUCAAUUUGACACGGACCAAAUCUUACCUUAUUUUAUAUAUAUUUUUUUAUAUAUUGAUUUCUUCUGUAGGAUUUGUUAAAUUACAUUUGUUGCCUUUUUAUAACUAAGGCCUCGAUUUAAUAUUUUUGAACAAGUGUUUCAAAUGAUUUAAUAUUUUUGGAUAAACUUUCAAAACGACUUAAUACUUUGAAAAACAAUGUAAUAUUUAAAAAAUGUAUACUAUUUUUUUUAUAUUCAUAUAUUUUGUGUUUUAAUAAUUGCUAAAAAUCAUUUAAAAAGUUUAUUUAAAAAUAUUCAGGCAUAUGAAAUGUGUAUUAAAAAAUUAUUAAAUUGAGACCUAUAUUAGAAAAUCAGUUAGGGUGCUAAACAAUGCUGUAGAGUAUUUGUAAGGAAGUCUAACUGCAAUGUGCCAUAGUGGUUUGUCUUUGGAACGUGAUCUAAAAUGUGGAUGAAAAAGUAAGUCGAAUUAAAAGCAGUUUUACAAAUAAGCACUUAAGUCCCAAAAAACAUGUGAAAUUCACUUGUCAUAGCUUUAUAAUUGUGAUUAAAAAUGUGUGUGUGUAUAUAUAUAUAUAUAUAUAUAUAUAUAUACACACACAUUUUAAUUCUCGUUGUAUAUUUUAAAAAUAUACUUAUAUUUUAAAUAUACUUAUUGUAUAUUUUAGAACACUAAAAUGCAACUAAGAAAACAACUGAUACAGGGAAAACUAAAGAAACAAAUUAUGUUAUAUAAUAUAUUACUAUCUUUUUAAUAAUUUAGAUAAAAACAAUUAGAUAAGCCACAAAUUAAAUUUUAUGUCCAGAAAUGUCCAGCUGAAAUGAAUAUAAAUAGAGACUUUGCAGACUAGAUUUCUCAAAGUAAAUACUUAAGACAAGCUGUGAGUUUAACUUAAUUUAAAAAAAUAUAAAAUUGUUCAUAAACCCAAUACAAUAUACUUAAUUUUUCAGGCUACUAACUUUAAAACUGUGCUUUAAAACUCCCAUUUGUGCCAACUACAUCAAAGGAUUGCCACGGUUAAGAGCUCCCCAUUGUUUAAAAUACUAUUCACGUAGUAGUUUAGCCCAAAAUUUCAGUAUUGAAAUAAAAUAUCUUAAUCAGAUGAAUGUAAUAUUUUACCCAGUCAUUUAAAAUGUAUGUUAAAUGUUGGUUAUCAGCAUUUAUUAAAGAGUGAUCUAGAAAAUCCACAUACGUUUAUUAACAAAACUCACAGUUUAGUUAAUAAACAUAUGUGUAUUUGCUAUAUCAGUCUAUCAGUAAUAAAUGCUUCACUGACUUGUUCUUCACUAGAACAUUGCACACCUGCUAUUCAGGUCAUGCCUCACUAGCUAUGAAAUGAGAACCACUAUAUUCAUUCUAUUUCUAGAAUCCCAGCUCUGUAACAAGCGUGUACAAUUAUCUUAUUACUGUUAUCCGUGGAGGGGAUUUUCACAACUUGCUAAAACACACUAACCAGGUUUUCUAACUACACUUUGUUAUUCUGCAUAGGCUGUAGGACAGUUAUGAUGUUGGACCUUCUACAAGGCCAAACACAACAUGGGAAAUUGAGUCUAAAAAGAUCUGAAGUCCUAUGUUUAGCCAUCAUAACUGUAGAAUGUACCACUUACACACAAUAGGAUUAAAAGGAAGGUUGGCUAAUUGUAGUUUUAUUGUUCAUAACAGUCUUUGAUAGUUUUCAGGUUGCGUUAUCUAUUACAUCCUAUGCUAACAAUAUAAUUUAAAGUGUUUAGCUAUAUCUUAAAUAAUAGAGUCAUAAUCUUAGAAGUGCAUCCACAGUCUUUAGAUAAUCAAAAAACAAUAUCCCACUACAUAGUUUCAGAAAUGAAAUAAUGAAACAAGUCUUUUUUGCAGCCUCUUACUCCCAGGCAACUCCUUAACUGUAACUUUCAAAAUUUACAGCUGAAAGUAUAUAUAAUAUCAAAGUAUUCAAUCUGAAAAUGUAAAUUUAACUAAUUUUUAUACACAUCUUGGGUAAUGCAUGAUCUUUAAUAAUAAUAAUUAUUAAUAUUUAUAAAUCGCCAACAAAUUCCACUGCGCAGUUUAAUGGGUGGACUAACAGACACGUAAGUGUAACCAGACGAGUUGGACUUACUGAGAGGUUGAGGGCCCUGCUCAAUCCGCUUACAUGCUAAAGGGUCAUUCAAUAAUGGUGGCUGAGCGCUACAGACUACAGAUCACAGAAGCUAAGCCACAUGUGUGAGCAUUAUAGAAACCAUCAUUCACAACAUACAAAGUAUAAAAAUACCCAUCAGUUAUACUAUAGUAGUUGUGCUAGUUAGCACUUUGUCCCAGAAUUUUUAAGGGUUUUACUUUCAUAGAUGUGUCCGUUUGUCUCAGCAUUAUGGUUAGAGUUAGCUAAUUCAUUCAAUGAUUAAAUAAUUGAACUGAAAAAGUGCACAAUUAAAUGGGAAAUAAAUAUAAAUUAUGCAACUUUCUGGGUGUCCAAAAAGAACAUUUUUUUUUAAUACUUUUAGGUUUAUUUACUAAACAGAAUUUGGAGAACUGAAAAAAAUAUCUUUCUUUUUACAAAAUAAGCCAUUUAUGAAAUUUCAUUCUCAUUUCUCAAUAAUUCUCAAUUUAAUAAACACAUCGAUUAGAGUCACACCAUCCUUAAAAUGUUUCAUGCUUUUCAUUGUUUUUAUUUAUUUGUUAUCUGCCUCUUAGCUAAUCAAUGCUAUAUAUAUAUUUGUUUACAUUCCUUUACCAUGCAUAACCAUAUCCUAACUUUGUUUUGUCUUUUAUUAAUUUUAUAGGAGCAAAGGAUGCUAAACCAUCAGUCUCUAUAUUCGGUCCCUCAGAGGAACAGAUUGCAACAGGAAAAGCAAGCAUUGUGUGCCUUGUCAGUGACUACUACCCAAGAGGUGCCAACGUGCAAUGGAAGGUAGACAAUCAGGCGAAGUCUUCAGAAGUGGCUACAAGUGAUGAGACAGCAGAUGAUAAGAGCUUAUACAGUAGAAGCAGCAUUCUGAGUAUAUCUUCAAGUGAAUGGAGUAGUCAUGAAACGUUCACUUGUGAGAUUACACAUAAAACAUUCUCAACACCACUGAUCACAAGCUUCAAGAAAUCAGAGUGCUAAAUGUGAUAGAUUCGGAAAGUUAAAUUCGUACGACUUAUUUCUAGAAAUUCAUUUUAUUUUCUUUCUUUUUGCUAUUUAAAUAUCCACGUACAUCAUCAUCUUUUCGCACUCAGUUCAUGUACAAUGUAAGACAGGUUGAGAUUGUCGUGUAACAAGUUGCAGCAAACAUUGUCACAGUUGUUCGCAAUGUUCUAUAUUAUUGUAAAGCUUUUGAAAUUCAAGUCAAAUAUUUUUUUCAUCUUUCUAUCUAUA
Non-coding RNA from Pelobates cultripes (western spadefoot toad), 6300 nucleotides. NCBI's taxonomy places the organism in Eukaryota, Metazoa, Chordata, Amphibia, Anura, Pelobatidae. The record is from the annotation of a GenBank genome assembly.